AGAGAUCAGCGGUUACACUACA
Molecule: microRNA, 22 nt
Filed under: Caenorhabditis elegans
Lineage: Eukaryota; Metazoa; Nematoda; Chromadorea; Rhabditida; Rhabditidae
Description: cel-miR-2209a-3p
Source: miRBase by way of RNAcentral